RNAcentral lists this non-coding RNA (24 nucleotides) under Mus musculus (house mouse). Lineage: Eukaryota; Metazoa; Chordata; Mammalia; Rodentia; Muridae. The record is from RNAcentral.
UGGAAACAAAAAGGUGUUAGUUUG